AGUGAACGCUGGCGGUAGGCCUAACACAUGCAAGUCGAACGGCAGCACAGUAAGAGCUUGCUCUUACGGGUAGCGAGUGGCGGACGGGUGAGGAAUACAUCGGAAUCUACUUUUUCGUGGGGGAUAACGUAGGGAAACUUACGCUAAUACCGCAUACGACCUACGGGUGAAAGCAGGGGAUCUUCGGACCUUGCGCGAUUGAAUGAGCCGAUGUCGGAUUAGCUAGUUGGCGGGGUAAAGGCCCACCAAGGCGACGAUCCGUAGCUGGUCUGAGAGGAUGAUCAGCCACACUGGAACUGAGACACGGUCCAGACUCCUACGGGAGGCAGCAGUGGGGAAUAUUGGACAAUGGGCGCAAGCCUGAACCAGCCAUACCGCGUGGGUGAAGAAGGCCUUCGGGUUGUAAAGCCCUUUUGUUGGGAAAGAAAAGCAGCAGGUUAAUACCCCGCUGUUCUGACGGUACCCAAAGAAUAAGCACCGGCUAACUUCGUG
RNAcentral lists this ribosomal RNA (492 nucleotides) under uncultured bacterium. Its description in RNAcentral is "partial 16S ribosomal RNA". It matches the Rfam family "Bacterial small subunit ribosomal RNA", at positions 29 to 507 of the family's 1533-position model. The record is from RNAcentral.